UACGUAGGGGGCAAGCGUUGUCCGGAAUCAUUGGGCGUAAAGCGCGUGUAGGCGGCUUGGUAAGUCUGCUCUGAAAGCCCGGGGCUCAACCCCGGGAGGCGGGUGGAUACUGCUGAGCUCGAGUCCGGAAGAGGCGAGUGGAAUUCCUGGUGUAGCGGUGAAAUGCGCAGAUAUCAGGAGGAACACCAGUGGCGAAGGCGGCUCACUGGACCGGAACUGACGCUGAGGCGCGAAAGCGUGGGGAGCAAACAGG
Molecule: ribosomal RNA, 253 nt
Filed under: uncultured bacterium
Lineage: Bacteria
Description: partial 16S ribosomal RNA
Rfam family: Bacterial small subunit ribosomal RNA
Source: RNAcentral